This 548-nucleotide ribosomal RNA is filed under the name uncultured Glomeromycotina. RNAcentral describes it as "SSU rRNA". It matches the Rfam family "Eukaryotic small subunit ribosomal RNA", at positions 548 to 1097 of the family's 1831-position model. The record is from RNAcentral. Lineage: Eukaryota; Fungi; Glomeromycota.
UUGGAGGGCAAGUCUGGUGCCAGCAGCCGCGGUAAUUCCAGCUCCAAUAGCGUAUAUUAAAGUUGUUGCAGUUAAAAAGCUCGUAGUUGAAUUUCGGGGUCAGUAGGCUGGUCGUGCCUCAGGUACGUACUGGUCUUACUGAUUCCUCCUUCCUGACGAACCGUAAUGCCAUUAAUUUGGUGUUGCGGGGAAUCUGGACUGUUACUUUGAAAAAAUUAGAGUGUUUAAAGCAGGCUAACGCUUGAAUACAUUAGCAUGGAAUAAUGAAAUAGGACGAUCGAUCCUAUUUUGUUGGUUUCUAGGAUUGACGUAAUGAUUAAUAGGGAUAGUUGGGGGCAUUAGUAUUCAAUUGUCAGAGGUGAAAUUCUUGGAUUUAUUGAAGACUAACUACUGCGAAAGCAUUUGCCAAGGAUGUUUUCAUUAAUCAAGAACGAAAGUUAGGAGAUCGAAGACGAUCAGAUACCGUCGUAGUCUUAACCAUAAACUAUGCCGACUAGGGAUCGGAUGAUGUUAAUUUUUUAAUGACUCAUUCGGCGCCUUACGGGAAA